Molecule: ribosomal RNA, 253 nt
Filed under: uncultured bacterium
Lineage: Bacteria
Description: partial 16S ribosomal RNA
Rfam family: Bacterial small subunit ribosomal RNA
Source: RNAcentral
UACGUAGGGUCCAAGCGUUAUCCGGAAUCACUGGGCGUAAAGCGUGCGUAGGUGGCGUGUUAAGUGUGAUGUUAAAUCGUGGGGCUCAACCCUGUCGGUGCAUCACAUACUGGCAUGCUAGAGGACGGCAGAGGCAAGUGGAAUUACGAGUGUAGCAGUGAAAUGCGUAGAUAUUCGUAGGAACACCAAUGGCGAAGGCAGCUUGCUGGGCCAUUCCUGACACUGAGGUACGAAAGCGUGGGGAGCGAACAGG